This 390-nucleotide ribosomal RNA is filed under the name uncultured bacterium. RNAcentral's name for it is "bacterial SSU rRNA". It matches the Rfam family "Bacterial small subunit ribosomal RNA", at positions 28 to 411 of the family's 1533-position model. The record is from RNAcentral.
GAUGAACGCUAGCGGCAGGCCUAACACAUGCAAGUCGAGGGGCAGCAUUUCCAGCUUGCUGGGAGAUGGCGACCGGCGCACGGGUGCGCAACGCGUAUGGAACCUGCCCGCUGCAGGGGAAUAGCCCGGGGAAACCCGGAUUAAUGCCCCGUGGUACCCUUUCGCGGCAUCGCGAGGGGGUUAAAGCCUACGGGCGGCAGCGGAUGGCCAUGCGUACCAUUAGCAAGUUGGUGGGGUAACGGCCUACCAAAGCUACGAUGGUUAGGGGCCCUGAGAGGGGGAUCCCCCACACUGGUACUGAGACGCGGACCAGACUCCUACGGGAGGCAGCAGUGAGGAAUAUUGGACAAUGGGCGGAGGCCUGAUCCAGCCAUGCCGCGUGCGGGAAGA